CAUGGCUUGUAAAGUAAAGGUGGCUAUGAUAUUUACCAAAUUUAAAUCCGUUCCAACAAAUCCAACAUGCUGUCAAAAUUAAAUCAAUAUGUCAAUAUGGCUACUGGGUGUAAAGUGUAAAAGAUAAAUCUUAUUCUAUCUGUUCUUAAUGAGUUUUAGAUAAUUUUAGUUGUAUUUCUUUGUAAUUUUGUGUUGUACAAAGAUUAAUUUAACAUUUUCUCUGGAAGUAUUAAUUUAGAAAGAUAAUUAUGCUUCAUUGGUGUUGUGUUUUGAAGUGUGAAAUGCAAAGUAAUUGUGAUAAAGUUCACUUUUAAACUGAACUAAAUAAGGUAUCUGAGAGACAACAAUGGUUAAAUGCAAUACAAUGUACAGGUUUUACUAGCGAAAUGAAAAUUUUCCUGUCCUGUCUGCUGUAAUCAUUUUAUAUCUGGAAAACCAGCCGACUUAAUCGAUAAUAACAAUCUCCAGAUUGGGUUCCUUCAAUAAAUAUGGGCUAUAAACACAAUGAAAUAAGUUCCCCAAAAUCUAAAAUGGAGUGGUAUCAAAGGAGAAUUAAAGGAAAAAAUAUUCAUAUUGAAAUUAUUUAUAAGGCACUGGACUGUCUUAAAUUCUACAAUAAUACUAGAAUCAGCUGAGAGAAGUGGUCUACAAAAAACCAGGAAGGAAACGGAAUAUGUGGCUACGAAAGGCAAAAGAAAGGUUUACAAAGCAAAUGUGACACAUUUUUUUGAAAUAUUUAGGAAUAUCAGUAAAUUGCAUUAAAAGAAUGUAUGAAAAGAUUUUGUUCAAUAAAAAUGUUUAUAUUUA
Molecule: long non-coding RNA, 807 nt
Filed under: Diabrotica virgifera virgifera (western corn rootworm)
Lineage: Eukaryota; Metazoa; Arthropoda; Insecta; Coleoptera; Chrysomelidae
Description: uncharacterized LOC126892845
Source: RNAcentral